UCAAUGUUGAAAGACGGUUUCGGCUGUCACUUAUAGAUGGACCCGCGCCGUAUUAGCUAGUUGGUAAGGUAACGGCUUACCAAGGCAACGAUACGUAGCCGACCUGAGAGGGUGAUCGGCCACACUGGAACUGAGACACGGUCCAGACUCCUACGGGAGGCAGCAGUAGGGAAUCUUCCGCAAUGGGCGAAAGCCUGACGGAGCAACGCCGCGUGAGUGAUGAAGGUCUUAGGAUCGUAAAACUCUGUUGUUAGGGAAGAACAAAUUUGUUAGUAACUGAACAAGUCUUGACGGUACCUAACCAGAAAGCCACGGCUAACUACGUGCCAGCAGCCGCGGUAAUACGUAGGUGGCAAGCGUUAUCCGGAAUUAUUGGGCGUAAAGCGCGCGUAGGCGGUUUCUUAAGUCUGAUGUGAAAGCCCACGGCUCAACCGUGGAGGGUCAUUGGAAACUGGGGAACUUGAGUGCAGAAGAGGAGAGUGGAAUUCCAUGUGUAGCGGUGAAAUGCGCAGAGAUAUGGAGGAACACCAGUGGCGAAGGCGGCUCUCUGGUCUGUAACUGACGCUGAUGUGCGAAAGCGUGGGGAUCAAACAGGAUUAGAUACCCUGGUAGUCCACGCCGUAAACGAUGAGUGCUAAGUGUUAGGGGGUUUCCGCCCCUUAGUGCUGCAGCUAACGCA
RNAcentral lists this ribosomal RNA (679 nucleotides) under uncultured bacterium. RNAcentral's name for it is "bacterial SSU rRNA". It matches the Rfam family "Bacterial small subunit ribosomal RNA", at positions 194 to 859 of the family's 1533-position model. The record is from RNAcentral.